UGCGGGGUCGUCUAAUUGGCAGGACGGCAGACUCUGGAUCUGCUAGUUGGGGUUCGAGUCCCUGCCCCGCAG
Molecule: transfer RNA, 72 nt
Filed under: bacterium
Lineage: Bacteria
Also listed under: 2 other names
Description: tRNA-Gln
Rfam family: tRNA
About the family: Transfer RNA (tRNA) molecules are approximately 80 nucleotides in length. Their secondary structure includes four short double-helical elements and three loops (D, anti-codon, and T loops).
Source: RNAcentral